This is a non-coding RNA of Pelobates cultripes (western spadefoot toad), 203 nucleotides long. NCBI's taxonomy places the organism in Eukaryota, Metazoa, Chordata, Amphibia, Anura, Pelobatidae. The record is from the annotation of a GenBank genome assembly.
CUGCACAACCCUCGGGGGAUGGAAGGAUGCGCACGCCUCAAGACCGAGUUGCCCCAGGGUACACAACUCAACCCUACCACCUCCAAAUAAUGGUCUCAAUGCUCGAUAUGCCUCCUGGGCAACGUAAAUGACGCACUAUGCGCCGACAGACGCAAAUCUGUACUGGGCCGCAUCGACAACACACUAUUGGACCUAGGAACGAC